RNA transcript from Felis catus (domestic cat), 409 nucleotides. It is a transcript of the gene named defensin beta 112, with no coding region annotated. The record is from RefSeq and is a predicted model, not a curated record. NCBI's taxonomy places the organism in Eukaryota, Metazoa, Chordata, Mammalia, Carnivora, Felidae. The transcript has 3 exons.
UUUGCAAAGUUUGACAAUUGCCCAAAAGUUUCAAUUUUGUAUCUUACAGAUGAGGAAAGAGAUGAAAAGAAAUGAUGAUUGACCAAAGUCUGGUGGUUAUGGUUACAUAUUUUGGAUAAAACAUACCAAGUGGGCUGUGACCAACCUGUUACCCCUUCUAUGCCAUUAUCGAUGAUCAUAUGUACUAAAAGGUUUGAAAAACUAUACUCAGAGAUACAUAAUUCUUCCACAAUAUCUGAAAAGGCAGAAUACAGUACAAAGGAAAACAAAGCAGCUAGAAUUAAAGAGCACUAUGAUGUUUUUGAUCCGUGGAAAGCCUGUGUAAAGCUUAAUGGUCAAUGUAAAAAUCAAUGUGGUGAAAAUGAAUUUAAGAUGUCGUACUGUGCAAGACCUGAAACUCUUUGCUGCU